GACAGAGUAGCUUACCCCACUAAAAGCAUAACACUGAAAAUGUUAAUACGGUUCAAGAUAACCCUCUCUCA
RNAcentral lists this transfer RNA (71 nucleotides) under Potamilus streckersoni. RNAcentral describes it as "tRNA-Phe". Lineage: Eukaryota; Metazoa; Mollusca; Bivalvia; Unionida; Unionidae. The record is from RNAcentral.